This is a long non-coding RNA of Melospiza melodia melodia, 520 nucleotides long. RefSeq lists it as uncharacterized. NCBI's taxonomy places the organism in Eukaryota, Metazoa, Chordata, Aves, Passeriformes, Passerellidae. The record is from RefSeq and is a predicted model, not a curated record. The transcript has 2 exons.
GGAGCCCUGCCCGGGAGCAGGGCGUGCGGCCGCAGGGCUGGCAGAGCCCGUGUCGGGCAGCUGUGCCACCUGGGGCCGCCGCAUGCUCUGUCUUGCCAGGGGUGGCUGGAGUGCUCAUAAUGGGGCAGAAGGAGGAGCUCCACGUCCUCCCUGAGGCUCUUUAAGCCCUGAAGGAAGAUGAGAGUCCAUCGUGCAUGAGCAAAUUGCUUCAGAUGACCUUUGAUAGAAGAUCUGCAGGACUUUGUUUGUCUGAUGGAUCAGAUGUACCAGCGUCCAUUAGCGAUUUCCAGUGCCCAUUGAAGAUGGGAGCACCUGCAGAGCAGGAUGGACCCGCUGGAGCUCCAGGCACAGCUCUGGCUGCUCAGAGAUGAGCCUGUGCGAAGCUCCUGCCAUCUCUCUCCCUGUUGACAGCUCCUUCCCUUCCCUGCAGCCCUCAGGCCCUGCCCAUCCCCUUUUCUGCCUCCCAGCUCACCCCUUCGCUUCGCUUUCCCUUAAUAAACUGUUUGGGUUUUUCACUUGA